This 219-nucleotide long non-coding RNA is filed under the name Malus domestica (apple). RNAcentral describes it as "long non-coding RNA (MDOM_LNC000834)". The record is from RNAcentral. Lineage: Eukaryota; Viridiplantae; Streptophyta; Magnoliopsida; Rosales; Rosaceae.
AUUGAAUAUUUGUAAGAAAUUAGAAGUGUGAAUAUUAAACACUCAUUACUUGUCAUCGCGCCUUCAUCCUAUAGGAGAAUGGUCUCAAACCAGAAUGGUGGAGAAGAGUCUUCUUCUCCCGGUUGAUCUUGUUAGCCUUCGCCUUCUUCUGUUAACAUAAAAUAAACGUAUUAGUGUAAUAUUUAAAGAAAAUGAAACAAACACAUAACUUAAAGUAGG